GACGAACGCUGGCGGCGUGCUUAACACAUGCAAGUCGAACGGAAAGGCCCUGCUUUUGUGGGGUGCUCGAGUGGCGAACGGGUGAGUAACACGUGAGUAACCUGCCCUUGACUUUGGGAUAACUUCAGGAAACUGGGGCUAAUACCGGAUAGGAGCUCCUGCUGCAUGGUGGGGGUUGGAAAGUUUCGGCGGUUGGGGAUGGACUCGCGGCUUAUCAGCUUGUUGGGGGGGUAGUGGCUUACCAAGGCUUUGACGGGUAGCCGGCCUGAGAGGGUGACCGGCCACAUUGGGACUGAGAUACGGCCCAGACUCCUCCGGGAGGCAGCAGUGGGGAAUAUUGCACAAUGGGCGGAAGCCUGAUGCAGCAACGCCGCGUGCGGGAUGACGGCCUUCGGGUUGUAAACCGCUUUCGCCUGUGACGAAGCGUGAGUGACGGUAAUGGGUAAAGAAGCACCGGCUAACUACGUG
RNAcentral lists this ribosomal RNA (468 nucleotides) under uncultured bacterium. Its description in RNAcentral is "partial 16S ribosomal RNA". It matches the Rfam family "Bacterial small subunit ribosomal RNA", at positions 28 to 507 of the family's 1533-position model. The record is from RNAcentral.